GUGCUUGCUUCAGCAGCAUGUAUACUAAAGCUGAAAUGAGAAGAUUAGCAUGGCCUCUCCACCAGGAUGCCAUGAAAAUUCGUGAAACAUUUCUGUCUUUC
Small nuclear RNA from Panthera leo (lion), 101 nucleotides. Lineage: Eukaryota; Metazoa; Chordata; Mammalia; Carnivora; Felidae. The record is from Ensembl.